RNAcentral lists this long non-coding RNA (3289 nucleotides) under Equus caballus (horse). Its description in RNAcentral is "lncRNA (ENSECAG00000058006.1)". Lineage: Eukaryota; Metazoa; Chordata; Mammalia; Perissodactyla; Equidae. The record is from RNAcentral.
GUUCCUGGUUACACAGCUGGCGUGGGUGCCUCACACCCCACAGGCUGUGUGCCCGUUCAACUGCUCCACCAGGGUCUCUCAGCCCCGGCACUGCUGACAUUAGGGGCCACAUGAUCCAGCGUUGUAGGGGCCGGUCCUGUGCACUGUAGGAUGUUCAGCAGCAUCCCUUCCCUCUACCCACGAGAUGCCAGUUGUGAUCCCUCCCCAGCUGUGACAACCAAAAUAUCUCUCUAUAUUUCUAAAUGUCCCCUGGGGACAAAAAUCACCCCUGCUUGGGAGCCAGUGGGCUAGACUCUCCUGCCUCCCUGGAUGAAUGCUUUCUGAGGGGCGGCACCAUCCCCACCCUGUCCAGUGGCUUCCACGGUCCCUCUGCUUCCACACUGAUCGUCACUUCCAUGCAGGUAGCCCCUUGCCUCUCCCACGGUCAAACAGCAGGCUUACCAGCUGGGCCACCUUUCCCAGAAACUCAACUUCUUUGAGCCCCAGCCAUAGGAAGCACAGGGCUCAGGAGAUACCUCUAUAGCCCUUAUUAUUAUCCCUUGAGUCACGGGGGUUCCCUGGGGUCAGAGCCAAGAGGAAGAGGGCUGCAAGCCAGCUGCCCUCUCUGGUCCAGAGCUUUGGACUCUGCUGGUUCUGCGAGUUUGCUUUUCUGGUUCAGCGAGAAGAAAACAAUGCUGUGGUGUGGGGCCAAAGCUGGCCCCAUUUGAUGCUAUCAUAUUUAUGCUAUUUCAUCUUUGCAAUAAAACUGCCUGACUUUCCCCACCAGCAGAACCUGAUUUUAGUGAGCCAGUGCUGCACUGUACACAGGGCAGGUGCUCAGGAAGGGCAAGGCGGAGCCGUCAGCAGCGCUCUCGGCAUCUGAACCUGGGCCGGGCUCCAGCAGGGUGUCCAUGCUGCGGCAGGGCCAGCUGGCCACCAUGGCGUGGCCCGGGAGAGCCUGGGCGGCACGUAGAGGGAGUGCCGUGGCUCUGCACACGAGCAGGAGGCCUGAGUCUCCUGCUACAAACAGGAUGCAGGGCAGAGGCAGACAGGUAUUGCCGUGCUACGUACGAGUCAGAGGACAGACGGGGGGAGGCCCGUUUUAGAGCUGAUGCCAGAGGAAGACAGUGUGUUUACCGGCAACGGUGAGAACUUGGCCAGUUCCUGUGGAUCAGGAAGUCAGAAGUGACUUAGCUGUGUAGACUCUGGCCUGGAUUCUUUCCUGAAGUUGCAAUCAAGAUGCCAGCCAGGUCUGAAAUCAUCUGAAGGCUUGUCUGGAGCUGGGGAGUCCCCUUCCAAGAUGGCUCGCUCGCAUGGCUGUUGGCGGGAGCCUCAGCUCUUCGCCAUGAGGACCACUCUAUGGGGCUGCUUGAGCAUCCUCACACCAUGGAGAUGGGCUUCCCCCAGAGCAAGGGAGAGCAAGGUGGAAGCCACAUUGUGUUUUAUACCUAGCUCCAGAAGUCAUGCACCAUGGUUUCCUGAAUAGCUUGUUGUUUACACGAGUCAGCCCUGCUGGGAGGGGACCACACAAGGAAGUGAAUACGAGGAGCUGAAAAUCAUGGGGCCAUGUUGGAGGUGGGCUAUCACACUGGUAAUCAUUGUUGACUUGUUUACUAUUAUUUGGAAGAUUCUGGAUCUCAAAUCAAAUCCAGUGUUCAAAAGUGGGCUGCGAACACAAAAAAGUUGGGAGCUGCUCAUCCAAUGGCUUCAUUUCAUCUGUAUCUGCCUGUGGGGUCCCCUGGGGGGCCAUGACUCCAGCAGUGUCCCAAGAUGACCCCAUCAGAAAUAAACCUCUACCAUCCCAUGACACUGAAAGCCUGUUAUCUGUGCCAGGUGCCAGCAAAGCACAGAUGCAUAGGAAGAAGCAGGAACUUUGCAGCCAGACGGAACUGUGUUCAAAUCCUGACUCCCCUCUUGAUGACCUGGGGACUCUGGACGAUUGGCUUAACCUCUCUGAGCCUGAGUGUGGUCGGGUGUAAAAUGGAUUGAGAUCAACUUCACAGGGUCGUUAGGGAGAUGAAAUACAGGAUGACAGAGCAAUGAUAAUAGGAGUCAGGUGAUCUGCCAAUGUUGACCCCUAGAUUUAUUAUUCAUACUGAUAACAAUAAAAUAAUAAUAAUAGCUCACAUUUAUUGACCUCCUAUUAUUGUCAGUCUCUGAAGCUUAAAGCAGUUAAGAACUUUGUCCAAAACACACUGCUGGGAGAGCUGAGACCCACACUCAGUUCUGUCUCUCUCCAAAGCGAAACUGUGUGACAACAAGCUCUUUUCUUAAUAACGGUCUGCAAUGAUCUACACAUUAUGUGGUUCUACCGCCUUCCUUUUCCUCUGUCUCUUUUUUGGCCACUUAGUAGUAUAAGGACGUACCAUAAUUGGUCAAUGAUUUCCCCUGUUGUUGGAUACUCAGUUUCUGCUUUCCACUAUUAACAGUGGGGCGUCAGCGAGCAUCUUUGCUGUGCAGGUGUUUGCCCAGGGCUCACCACAUGCCAGGGGCUGCGCUAAGCACUUGAUGUGUGUCCCACAUUUAAUCCUCCACCAGCCUGAGGACACCCAGCUAGGAAAUGACACUUUCAGGCUCUUACUUGUCUAAUAGAGUGCCUUUUAAGGGUUGAGAGUCCCUUACCUUCUCCAUCCUGAAGAUCUUCCUUCCAAUAGGGCCCCCAAGGAGUGCCUGUGUUUUCCCUGCAGCAGGUGCAUGAGAGACCAGAGGGCUUGGAGUCUGCAAACCCGGGUUUAACAAAAGGACAGCUCUUGACGGGUUACCACCAGGCUCACAGCAGCCAGGGCUCACCAGAUGUGGCCCUGCAUCAGUCAGGAAAGGCCAGGUUAUGCUGUGGUAACAAACGAUCCCAAGAGAGUGGCUUAAAACAUCCAUUGUGGGAAUGUGAUGGGCUCCGUUUUACGUUGCCCUUACUCUGGGCCCCAACUUGAUAGAGCAGCCAUGGGCGUGAUCACCGCCAGUCACCAUUCCAGGAGGCCAGAGGGCAUGUAGGCAAUUGCGCGCUGGAUCCUAAAGCUUUGCCUGGAAGGGACUCGUUCCUUCCUCUCACUUUGCUUUUUUGAUAAAGCAAGUCAUAUAGGCAUGCUUAACCCCGAAAGGACAUGUGCCCCCAGUGGAGAGAACUGUAAUAUUUGGUGAGCGGCACUGAUGACCACCACAGGCUGUGUCCUCUGCUGACCAUUGAGAAAGAGGCUGACAAUCCUAACCACAUUUUAGAACAAUUGAGUCCAGGCCAGAAGUGCCCUUAGCAUUCUUUCCCCAGGAAAGACCCCUGCCUCUAAACCCCGUCGUGCCCACACCAUGAAGCCCA